UAGCUGUGUCCUUCGGGACAAGGAGACAGGUGGUGGCAUGGUUGUCGUCAGCUCGUGUCGUGAGAUGUGGUUAGUCCGCAACGAGCGCAACCCCUGUGGUUAGUUGCCAGCAAGUAGCGUUGGGCACUCUAGCCAGACUGCCGGUGAUAAAUCGGAGGAAGGUGGGGACGACGUCAAAUCAUCAUGCCCUUUAUGUCCUGGGCUACACACGUACUACAAUGGCCGUUACAACGGGAAGCGAAGGAGCAAUCCGGAGCAAAUCCCUUAAAGGCGGUCCUAGUUCAGGUUGUGGGCUGAAACUCGCCCACAUGAAGGCGGAAUUGCUAGUAAUUGCAGAUCAGCAUGCUGCAGUGAAUACGUUCCCGGGCCUU
This 371-nucleotide ribosomal RNA is filed under the name uncultured Oscillospiraceae bacterium. Its description in RNAcentral is "bacterial SSU rRNA". It matches the Rfam family "Bacterial small subunit ribosomal RNA", at positions 1008 to 1382 of the family's 1533-position model. The record is from RNAcentral. Lineage: Bacteria; Bacillati; Bacillota; Clostridia; Eubacteriales; Oscillospiraceae.